UUUUAAUAUUUGAUUAAUAAUCAUUUUGUACUGUGAAACCAGCAAUUUUAUAAAUAAAGUUUUGAAUUCAAAUAUGCUUUGUCUCACAGGAAACCGUGACGUUUUUGCAAUCGCUUCCCGUGCAUGAUAAUGACAAAACCAAAGGAAAAGCCAUGUCCUCACUGCCAAUCCAAAAACAACGCCAGCUGCAAAACCUGCAAAAAAUGUUUUGCUAGUUUAAUUCUCAAAAAAAAAAUUAAGGCAAAACAAAAAAAUAUAGAAGACAGUUCAUGGAGGUCCACCACCCAAAAACACCGCAAUGCUGCUCGUGUGGUGGAUUCUGCCCGCAUUGCUGUUAAGAAAUUGGAGGUACUAGGCUAUAAGCCGAUUUUGUUCUACUCAAGAGAGCAAAAAAAGGGAUUUACAGCCGAAGUGAUUACUUCAGUGGGUCCCUGUGCUGAGGGGCCACUUCGAAACAUAAUGGACAAAAUGACUGGCCUCUAUGAAUAUUUCAUUAAAAAUUAUCAAAGGCUUCAGAUCCACACUGCUGCUGAAUCGGAUCCUGAUGUUUGCCAGCCCCAGACUUCCUCUCCUCCUCCUCCUCCUCCUUCCUCUAGCCUUUCUACUCAUACCUCCUCUUUAUUCACUGUCCCUUCUCCAUCUUCUUCCUCCAGUGGUGCUCCUCUUACCUCCUCUUUCCACACUCUUACUUCAUCUUCCUCCAACAUUUCUUCUCCUCCUACUUCUUCUUUCUACACCAUUCCUGCUGCACCUUCGUUUG
This is a non-coding RNA of Paramisgurnus dabryanus, 760 nucleotides long. The record is from RefSeq and is a predicted model, not a curated record. NCBI's taxonomy places the organism in Eukaryota, Metazoa, Chordata, Actinopteri, Cypriniformes, Cobitidae.